UCAUAAACGUUAUCCUCAUGUUGGAAAAGAAAAACGGCACAGAGAUCCAACAAAGAAAGUUGUAAUAGAUGAAAACACAAUCGAGAGCAAGUUUCGUUCUCAGUCAACUGUUAGAUUUCGUUAAAUUGAGUUCUAUAACAAUUUUAAGAUGUUUAGUGUGUACCAGUAUCUCUUUUUAGUGUGUGUCUUUUUUAGUGUGUAUCUCUUUGUGUGUUUGUGUGCGUGUGAACAGGGCUCUGUUUUAAUUUUAAAUUUAAAUUUUAAAA
Long non-coding RNA from Amphimedon queenslandica, 266 nucleotides. RefSeq lists it as uncharacterized. The transcript has 2 exons. NCBI's taxonomy places the organism in Eukaryota, Metazoa, Porifera, Demospongiae, Haplosclerida, Niphatidae. The record is from RefSeq and is a predicted model, not a curated record.